RNAcentral lists this ribosomal RNA (116 nucleotides) under Bhargavaea ginsengi. The record is from RNAcentral. RNAcentral also lists the same sequence under 1 other name. Lineage: Bacteria; Bacillati; Bacillota; Bacilli; Caryophanales; Caryophanaceae.
UCUGGCGAUAAUGGCGAAGAGGUCACACCCGUUCCCAUCCCGAACACGGAAGUUAAGCUCUUCAGCGCCGAUGGUAGUCGGGGGCUUCCCCCUGCAAGAGUAGGACGUCGCCGGGC